RNAcentral lists this ribosomal RNA (634 nucleotides) under uncultured bacterium. RNAcentral's name for it is "bacterial SSU rRNA". It matches the Rfam family "Bacterial small subunit ribosomal RNA", at positions 90 to 702 of the family's 1533-position model. The record is from RNAcentral.
GUAGGGUGGCAAACGGGUGAGUAAUACAUGGGUGAUCUACCUUAGGGAUGGGGAUAUCCUUCCGAAAGGAGGGGCAAUACCGAAUAUUGUCCGGGACCAUGAAGGGUUCCGGGGAAAGGGAGGCCUCUGAUACAAGCUUUCGCCUUAAUAUGAGCCCAUGGCCCAUCAGCUAUUUGGUAGGGUAAAGGCCUACCAAGGCUACGACGGGUCGCUGGUCUGAUAGGACUACCAGCCACACUGGCACUGAGAUACAGGCCAGACUCCUACGGUAGGCAGCAUUGAGGAAUAUUGCGCAAUGGGGGAAACCCUGACGCAGCAACGCCGCGUGUGGGAAGAAGGCCUUCGGGUCGUAAACCACUUUUACUCGGGACGAAAAAUGGAUGUCAAAUAAACAUCCCCGAUGACGGUACCGUGAGAAUAAGCCACGGCUAACUCUGUGCCAGCAGCCGCGGUAAGACAGAGGUGGCAAGCGUUGUUCGGAAUUACUGGGCGUAAAGAGUCUGUAGGUGGUUUGUCAAGUCUUUGGUGAAAGGCCGUAGCUUAACUAUGGGAAUGCCAAAGAUACUGGCAGGCUGGAGGCUGGGAGAGGGAAGCGGAAUUUCUGGUGUAGCGGUGAAAUGCGUAGAUAUCAGAA